This 284-nucleotide long non-coding RNA is filed under the name Citrus x clementina. Its description in RNAcentral is "Citrus clementina (C. clementina) long non-coding RNA (CCLE_LNC003742)". The record is from RNAcentral. Lineage: Eukaryota; Viridiplantae; Streptophyta; Magnoliopsida; Sapindales; Rutaceae.
GAAAAAAGCCACAAAAAUGGGUGGGCCAUAGCCUUGGGGGGCGGGGCUGGCCAACUUCGUCCGCCGGGCUCGGAAAGGCGCGAGACCUUACGAGGCUCCUCCGUGUGCCAAAAAUAGGCCGCGGGCACAGCCGCGCCCAAAAAUAACCGACCAAAGGCCGGGGCGCCAAGUAUGUCCAGUGGAAAAAGGCCACAAAAACGGGUGGGCUAUAGCCUUGGGGGGUGGGGCUAGCCAACUUCGUCCGCCGGACUCGGAAUGGCGUGAGACUUUGCGAGGCGCCUCCG